UUGGUGUGGUGAGAAUGAGGGAGGAAUGGGCUAUUUAUAGAAGCCCCAAAUUUUUUUUUUCCAAAAUACCCCUCAAUUCAGCCGUUAUUGGACUGUUGGGAGGGGUAAAAGGGUCAUUUUCACGAAAAUAGCCGUUGAAAACGGCUAUUUUCCUCCCCCCUCUCCAGACGGGCCCUGCCUAGCACGGCCCGUUAUCGCCCGUUACGAGCCGUGCCUGGCACGGCCCGUGGCGUGCCGUGCCCGGCCCGGCCCACCAAUAGAGGGGCCUGGGGCCGGGCCGGGCUGGUGUUCCGUGCUGGACGGGCCGUGCCAGG
RNAcentral lists this long non-coding RNA (314 nucleotides) under Phoenix dactylifera (date palm). RNAcentral describes it as "long non-coding RNA (PDAC_LNC017723)". The record is from RNAcentral. Lineage: Eukaryota; Viridiplantae; Streptophyta; Magnoliopsida; Arecales; Arecaceae.